GAGACAGUUCGGUCCCUAUCUGCCAUGGGUGUAGGAAACUUGAGAGGAUCUGACCUUAGUACGAGAGGACCGGGUUGGACGUACCUCUGGUGCACCAGUCGUCAUGCCAAUGGCGCAGCUGGGUAGCUAUGUACGGAAUGGAUAAACGCUGAAAGCAUCUAAGCGUGAAACCUUCCUCAAGAUGAGUUUACUUUUAAGGGCCGUAGUAGACUACUACGUUGAUAGGCUAUAGGUAUAAGGGUGGUAACAUCGCAGCCGAGUAGUACUAAUUACCCGUAAGCUUUAUUUUUU
Molecule: ribosomal RNA, 291 nt
Filed under: Taibaiella sp.
Lineage: Bacteria; Pseudomonadati; Bacteroidota; Chitinophagia; Chitinophagales; Chitinophagaceae
Description: partial 23S ribosomal RNA
Rfam family: Bacterial large subunit ribosomal RNA
Source: RNAcentral